This is a non-coding RNA of Camellia sinensis, 434 nucleotides long. The record is from RefSeq and is a predicted model, not a curated record. NCBI's taxonomy places the organism in Eukaryota, Viridiplantae, Streptophyta, Magnoliopsida, Ericales, Theaceae.
CGGGUCCGUGGUAGGGGUGGAGUGCAGGGAGGACGGGGAGUUGGCUGGCCUGCCCUGCCCGCUGUACUGACUUUCCAGGGGUAGGGUGGGUCAACCUAUCAGAUCCCCUUCGCCCCUCCGCCAGCUGGCCAUGAGUUCAUUGACGUCCCCGACUUACCGCCGGCCUCUUCUGAGUACACCCGUCAGUCGUUGGCGAUGAAUGCCUCGAUGAUGGGGAUGCUCCAGCGGACAUUUGACCUCUUGGCCGUCUACAGCAUACCGCCUUCUUUCCAGAUUCCCAUGGCGGGAGGUGCUUCAGCGAGACCUUCUGUCCCUGCCCGGGGGAGAGAUGAGGAGGGCCGGAUAUUUCCCCGUACCAGGGGAGGGCGUACCCAUGUCGGGAGUAGCUCGCAAGCUCCAGUCCCGGACGAUGAUGAUGACGAGGAGUCAGAGGC